RNAcentral lists this unclassified non-coding RNA (392 nucleotides) under uncultured fungus. Its description in RNAcentral is "partial contains small subunit ribosomal RNA, internal transcribed spacer 1, and 5.8S ribosomal RNA". The stretch from base 1 to 73 matches the Rfam family "Eukaryotic small subunit ribosomal RNA", at positions 1759 to 1831 of the family's 1831-position model. The record is from RNAcentral. Lineage: Eukaryota; Fungi.
GCAAACUUGGUCAUUUAGAGGAAGUAAAAGUCGUAACAAGGUAACCGUAGGUGAACCUGCGGUUGGAUCAUUAAUGGAGAAGGGGGUAGGCUAGGUUUCGGCCUAGCUAUUUCCGGACACUUUGUGAAAUGUUUAUAGUCUCUGGCGUGAGUGCGUUGGCCAAGGCUAUUCAUGCUGCGCGCGCGUAGCCCUCCCUUUCGUGCCUAGGGUGGUAUCCCUAGCUAGCUAGCUAGGGUUGGGGUGCGCGUGUGGGUAUGAUGAUGAUGAGCUAACCCUCGCGCCUAUAUGCACAUUGUAUAGUAUACUCACUGCCUAUAGCCUAUGUGAAUCUUUAAUUAAAAACAACUUUUAACAACGGAUCUCUAGGCUCUCGCAUCGAUGAAGAACGCAGC